This 253-nucleotide ribosomal RNA is filed under the name uncultured bacterium. Its description in RNAcentral is "partial 16S ribosomal RNA". It matches the Rfam family "Bacterial small subunit ribosomal RNA", at positions 524 to 776 of the family's 1533-position model. The record is from RNAcentral.
UACAGAGGGUGCGAGCGUUGUCCGGAAUCACUGGGCGUAAAGGGCGCGUAGGUGGCACGACAAGUCAGUGGUGAAAGCUCGACGCUCAACGUCGAGUCGGCCACUGAUACUGUUGAGCUGGAGCACUGUAGAGGCUAAUGGAAUUCCGGGUGUAGCGGUGGAAUGCGUAGAGAUCCGGAAGAACACCGGUGGCGAAGGCGAUUAGCUGGGCAGUUGCUGACACUGAGGCGCGACAGCGUGGGGAGCAAACAGG